UGGCUCUCGCAUCGAUGAAGAACGCAGCGAAAUGCGAUAAGUAAUGUGAAUUGCAGAAUUCAGUGAAUCAUCGAAUCUUUGAACGCAUCUUGCGCCCCUUGGUAUUCCGAGGGGCAUGCCUGUUUGAGUGUCAUUCGAAUAUCAAGCCCGAAUCGGUUCCCUGUGAACCCCUCUCGGUGUUCUUGGAUGUUGGAGUGUGCGGGGAUGACGUUCCCCGCUCCUCUGAAAAUACAUCAGCGGAAGUUCGAACCAAGGAAACCCUCUGCGGCGUGGUAACCAUCACCGUCGCGCUAGGGGGGGAGCCGAGAACUCUGCUUCAAGCCUGUCGUCCCCUACGCGACAAUCUUCUUGACAUUUUGACCUCAAAUCAGGCAGGAUUACCCGCUGA
RNAcentral lists this unclassified non-coding RNA (388 nucleotides) under uncultured fungus. RNAcentral describes it as "partial contains 5.8S ribosomal RNA and internal transcribed spacer 2". The stretch from base 1 to 133 matches the Rfam family "5.8S ribosomal RNA", at positions 22 to 154 of the family's 154-position model. The record is from RNAcentral. Lineage: Eukaryota; Fungi.